ACUCCUACGGAAGGCAGCAGUAGGGAAUAUUGCUCAAUGGGCGAAAGCCUGAAGCAGCAGCCGCGUGCGGGAGGAAGGCCCUCGGGUCGUAAACCGCUUUCAGCAGGGACGAGGCCGCAAGGUGACGGUACCUGCAGAAGAAGCCCCGGCUAACUACGUGCCAGCAGCCGCGGUAAUG
This 178-nucleotide ribosomal RNA is filed under the name uncultured bacterium. RNAcentral's name for it is "partial 16S ribosomal RNA". It matches the Rfam family "Bacterial small subunit ribosomal RNA", at positions 335 to 525 of the family's 1533-position model. The record is from RNAcentral.